AACGAACGCUGGCGGCAGGCCUAACACAUGCAAGUCGAGCGAGACCUUCGGGUCUAGCGGCGGACGGGUGAGUAACGCGUGGGAACGUGCCCUUUUCUACGGAAUAGCCUCGGGAAACUGAGCGUAAUACCGUAUACGUCCUUUGGGGGAAAGAUUUAUCGGAGAAGGAUCGGCCCGCGUUGGAUUAGGUAGUUGGUGGGGUAAUGGCCUACCAAGCCUACGAUCCAUAGCUGGUUUGAGAGGAUGAUCAGCCACACUGGGACUGAGACACGGCCCAGACUCCUACGGGAGGCAGCAGUGGGGAAUCUUAGACAAUGGGGGCAACCCUGAUCUAGCCAUGCCGCGUGAGUGAUGAAGGCCUUAGGGUUGUAAAGCUCUUUCAGCUGGGAAGAUAAUGACGGUACCAGAAGAAGAAGCCCCGGCUAACUCCGUG
Molecule: ribosomal RNA, 433 nt
Filed under: uncultured bacterium
Lineage: Bacteria
Description: partial 16S ribosomal RNA
Rfam family: Bacterial small subunit ribosomal RNA
Source: RNAcentral